CCUACGGGAGGCAGCAGUGCGGAAUAUUGGUCAAUGGGCGAGAGCCUGAACCAGCCAAGUCGCGUGAAGGAUGACGGCCCUACGGGUUGUAAACUUCUUUUGUCAGGGAGCAAUUGAGUCCACGUGUGGGCUUACCGAGAGUACCGGCAGAAAAAGCAUCGGCUAACUCCGUGCCAGCAGCCGCGGUAAUACGGAGGAUGCGAGCGUUAUCCGGAUUUAUUGGGUGUAAAGGGUGCGUAGGAGGAAUAUCAAGUCAGCGGUAAAAUUUCGGGGCUCAACCCCGUCGUGCCGUUGAAACUGGUGGUCUUGAGUGGGAGAGAAGUAUGCGGAAUGCGAGGUGUAGCGGUGAAAUGCAUAGAUAUAACGCAGAACUCCGAUUGCGAAGGCAGCAUACCGGCGCCCUACUGACGCUGAAGCACGAAAGCGUGGGGAUCGAACAGGAUUAGAUACCCGGGUAGUC
Molecule: ribosomal RNA, 460 nt
Filed under: uncultured bacterium
Lineage: Bacteria
Description: partial 16S ribosomal RNA
Rfam family: Bacterial small subunit ribosomal RNA
Source: RNAcentral